RNAcentral lists this ribosomal RNA (253 nucleotides) under uncultured bacterium. Its description in RNAcentral is "partial 16S ribosomal RNA". It matches the Rfam family "Bacterial small subunit ribosomal RNA", at positions 524 to 776 of the family's 1533-position model. The record is from RNAcentral.
UACAGAGGGUGCGAGCGUUAAUCGGAAUUACUGGGCGUAAAGCGUGCGCAGACGGUUGCGUAAGUCAGAUGUGAAAGCCCCGGGCUCAACCUGGGAAUUGCAUUUGAGACUGCGUAGCUAGGGUGCGGAAGAGGGAAGCGGAAUUCCCGGUGUAGCGGUGAAAUGCGUAGAGAUCGGGAGGAACACCAGUGGCGAAGGCGGCUACCUGGACCAGCACUGACACUGAGGCACGAAAGCGUGGGGAGCAAACAGG